Molecule: ribosomal RNA, 253 nt
Filed under: uncultured bacterium
Lineage: Bacteria
Description: partial 16S ribosomal RNA
Rfam family: Bacterial small subunit ribosomal RNA
Source: RNAcentral
UACGUAGGGUGCAAGCGUUGUCCGGAAUUAUUGGGCGUAAAGAGCUCGUAGGCGGUCUGUCGCGUCUGCUGUGAAAACCUGGGGCUUAACCCCGGGCCUGCAGUGGGUACGGGCAGACUAGAGUGCGGUAGGGGAGACUGGAAUUCCUGGUGUAGCGGUGAAAUGCGCAGAUAUCAGGAGGAACACCAAUGGCGAGGGCAGCUCGCUGGGACGGUACUGACGCUGAGACGCGAAAGCGUGGGGAGCAAACAGG